Molecule: ribosomal RNA, 252 nt
Filed under: uncultured bacterium
Lineage: Bacteria
Description: partial 16S ribosomal RNA
Rfam family: Bacterial small subunit ribosomal RNA
Source: RNAcentral
ACGGAGGGUCCGAGCGUUAUCCGGAAUCAUUGGGUUUAAAGGGUCCGCAGGCGGCCAGAUAAGUCAGUGGUGAAAUUCCGUGGCUCAACCACGGAACUGCCAUUGAUACUGUUUGGCUUGAAUCAGUUCGAGGAUGCCGGAAUGUGUGGUGUAGCGGUGAAAUGCAUAGAUAUCACACAGAACACCAAUUGCGAAGGCAGGUGUCCAGAACUGUAUUGACGCUGAUGGACGAAAGCGUGGGUAGCGAACAGG